GGGGUAUAGGUUUUCGGAUCUAGAGACCGGCGCACGGGUGCGUAACGCGUAUGCAAUCUACCUUUUACAGAGGGAUAGCCCAGAGAAAUUUGGAUUAAUACCUCAUAGUAUUAUGAAAUGGCAUCAUUUUAUAAUUAAAGUCACAACGGUAAAAGAUGAGCAUGCGUCCCAUUAGCUAGUUGGUAAGGUAACGGCUUACCAAGGCAACGAUGGGUAGGGGUCCUGAGAGGGAGAUCCCCCACACUGGUACUGAGACACGGACCAGACUCCUWCGGGAGGCAGCAGUGAGGAAUAUUGGACAAUGGGCGCAAGCCUGAUCCAGCCAUGCCGCGUGCAGGAUGACGGUCCUAUGGAUUGUAAACUGCUUUUGUACGAGAAGAAACACUACUUCGUGAAGUAGCUUGACGGUAUCGUAAGAAUAAGGAUCGGCUAACUCCGUGCCAGCAGCCGCGGUAAUACGGAGGAUCCAAGCGUUAUCCGGAAUCAUUGGGUUUAAAGGGUCCGUAGGCGGUUUAGUAAGUCAGUGGUGAAAGCCCAUCGCUCAACGGUGGAACGGCCAUUGAUACUGCUAGACUUGAAUUAUUAGGAAGUAACUAGAAUAUGUAGUGUAGCGGUGAAAUGCUUAGAGAUUACAUGGAAUACCAAUUGCGAAGGCAGGUUACUACUAAUUGAUUGACGCUGAUGGACGAAAGCGUGGGUAGCGAACAGGAUUAGAUACCCUGGUAGUCCACGCCGUAAACGAUGGAUACUAGCUGUUGGGAGCAAUUUCAGUGGCUAAGCGAAAGUGAUAAGUAUCCCACCUGGGGAGUACGUUCGCAAGAAUGAAACUCAAAGGAAUUGACGGGGGCCCGCACAAGCGGUGGAGCAUGUGGUUUAAUUCGAUGAUACGCGAGGAACCUUACCAAGGCUUAAAUGUAGAUUGACCGGUUUGGAAACAGAUCUUUCGCAAGACAAUUUACAAGGUGCUGCAUGGUUGUCGUCAGCUCGUGCCGUGAGGUGUCAGGUUAAGUCCUAUAACGAGCGCAACCCCUGUUGUUAGUUGCCAGCGAGUCAUGUCGGGAACUCUAACAAGACUGCCAGUGCAAACUGUGAGGAAGGUGGGGAUGACGUCAAAUCAUCACGGCCCUUACGCCUUGGGCUACACACGUGCUACAAUGGCCGGUACAGAGAGCAGCCACUGGGUGACCAGGAGCGAAUCUACAAAACCGGUCACAGUUCGGAUCGGAGUCUGCAACUCGACUCC
Molecule: ribosomal RNA, 1243 nt
Filed under: Flavobacterium sp. EP040
Lineage: Bacteria; Pseudomonadati; Bacteroidota; Flavobacteriia; Flavobacteriales; Flavobacteriaceae
Description: bacterial SSU rRNA
Rfam family: Bacterial small subunit ribosomal RNA
Source: RNAcentral